AUUGAACGCUGGCGGCAGGCCUAACACAUGCAAGUCGAGCGAGCGGCGGACGGGUGAGUAAUGUCUGGGAAACUGCCUGAUGGAGGGGGAUAACUACUGGAAACGGUAGUUAAUACCGCAUACCAUCAGAUGUGCCCAGGUUGGAUUAGCUAGUAGGUGGGGUAACGGCCCACCUAGGCGACGAUCCCUAGCUGGUCUGAGAGGAUCACCAGCCACACUGGAACUGAGACACGGUCCAGACUCCUACGGGAGGCAGCAGUGGGGAAUAUUGGACAAUGGGCGAAAGCCUGAUGCAGCCAUGCCGCGUGUGUGAAGAAGGCCUUCGGGUUGUAAAGCACUUUCAGCGGGGAGGCGUUACCCACAGAAGAAGCACCGGCUAACUACGUGCCAGCAGCCGCGGUAAUAC
This 406-nucleotide ribosomal RNA is filed under the name uncultured bacterium. Its description in RNAcentral is "partial 16S ribosomal RNA". It matches the Rfam family "Bacterial small subunit ribosomal RNA", at positions 30 to 526 of the family's 1533-position model. The record is from RNAcentral.